Labrus mixtus (cuckoo wrasse) is the source of this 940-nucleotide long non-coding RNA. RefSeq lists it as uncharacterized. Lineage: Eukaryota; Metazoa; Chordata; Actinopteri; Labriformes; Labridae. The record is from RefSeq and is a predicted model, not a curated record. The transcript is spliced from 4 exons.
GGGUGGGGUUAAGAAGACGGCCAUACUUUAGGAAUCAAGCGCUCAUCAUCUCCAUGUCGUUCCACUGGGACAAAUGGAGGAUGCAUCAACAUCAGGAGCCGUCGACAGAUGCUGCUGUCAAGCACAGAGUACGGACUGCAUCUGUUAAAAUGCAAACACCUCCACACCGAACCCACAGCAGCAGCCGCCUCCCCGGCACGGCUGCCUGGACUUCAAAGGAGAAAGAUUGGCGUGAUACCAGAGUCGUACUACAGUGCUCUACACAAACUUUAACUUCAGCGCUGCGUUGUUAUUUCACUUCACAUUUUCCACCAUUGUCUCAUGCAGAGCUGCUUAUUAAUGGAAACUGUUUAUGUUGGUAGAUGCAUAGUGGUGUAGCAGCCGUGUAGUUUAUUCAUAGCAGUGACUCUGAGCUUUUGCUUUCUGCUGUUUCCAGUCAAGCAGGACAACAGGGAGACUUUUUGUCUCUGCUGGGAUCAAUCGCUCCAUAGAUGACGCCCACCCAGCCAGGCCUCUCUGUGGGCGGCUGGGAGCCCAGCAGCCCAGCAGCCCUGCAGGCCGGCCCCAGUCCAGCCCCGCCCCGGCUCAGGGCCUCCUCCGGCCCCCGCAGCAAGCAGGGCAGGAAGGACCGGAGAGCUGAACUUUACAUAUGAAAGCUUUCAGCUGACAUCUCUAAAGUCACCAAAGGAGAGAGCAGAGCUUCAUUAUUGUGAACUACUUCCUGAUCACUCACGGCCAAUGGGAUCGCAGUGUCAGAAAGGAAGCUGAUUGGAUUGUCGAGAGGACGGUAAUCCCACAAAUCAGCACACAGGACCGAAUCACAGAGAGAAUCCCUUUAGGCUGACACAAAAAGAGCAAAACGUGACUGAAGGCCGUGCAGCGAAGGACCGCCGGUUUGGAUGGUUACCUGCAGCUGAUGAUCUUUUUCAGGGCGACUCGA